RNAcentral lists this ribosomal RNA (324 nucleotides) under uncultured eukaryote. RNAcentral's name for it is "partial 18S ribosomal RNA". It matches the Rfam family "Eukaryotic small subunit ribosomal RNA", at positions 1470 to 1796 of the family's 1831-position model. The record is from RNAcentral.
CCCUUAGAUGUCCUGGGCUGCACGCGCGCUACACUGAUGUGUCCAGUAAGCACCUAACCUCUUCCGAAAGGAACGGGUAACCUUUGCAAAGCACAUCGUGAUGGGGAUAGAUUAUUGCAAUUAUUAGUCUUGAACGAGGAAUUCCUAGUAAGCACAAGUCAUCAGCUUGUGUUGAUUACGUCCCUGCCCUUUGUACACAUCGCCCGUCGCUCCUACCGAUUGAAUGUUCCGGUGAGCUCUUCGGACUGCGCGGUCUGCAGUUUCUGCGUUCCGUGCGGAAAGUUGCGCAAACCUUAACAUUUAGAGGAAGGAGAAGUCGUAACA